UUGACCUCAAAUCGGGUGAGACUACCCGCUGAACUUAAGCAUAUCAAUAACG
This 52-nucleotide ribosomal RNA is filed under the name Lactifluus deceptivus. Its description in RNAcentral is "partial 25S ribosomal RNA". The record is from RNAcentral. Lineage: Eukaryota; Fungi; Basidiomycota; Agaricomycetes; Russulales; Russulaceae.